GAAGAUUUAGUUAAUAUAUAUAUAACACUAGUAUGUCAAUCUAAAGUAAUCUAUAAAGAUAGUCUUCU
This 68-nucleotide transfer RNA is filed under the name Eupolyphaga sinensis. RNAcentral's name for it is "tRNA-Asp". Lineage: Eukaryota; Metazoa; Arthropoda; Insecta; Blattodea; Corydiidae. The record is from RNAcentral.